CUCGUCUCUUCCGCAGGCAGUUUUUUCCACGGGCUUCCAUGAGGCAGGUUUUAGACGACAGAAUUCUAGCCCUUUAGGAAUGAAAGAGAAAUCAGGGCUUUCUCUCCGUGCCACGGUGGUGAGGCGAGUAUUCUAUCGAAGCCCACGCUUGGCACGUUUGCUUGUCUCCCGGGCCAUUGGAACCGUGUGAUCCAUAAGGCGCCUGAGCGCGCGUUUGGUCAGAGGGGCUCGGUCACUCGCCAGGGGAAACCCUGGGUGCGGGAGCUUCCUCUGCAUUUGGGCUGCACCUUGAUAGACUCAGAACCUACAGGGAAAGAUGACGGCUAACUCCGCCGACCUCUCAACCGGGAGAGCCCCAGAGAGGAAGCAGAUUUGUCUCCUGGACUAUCGAAGUGUCCCGGUGGCAAGCUAAGCGGAAAGCUAGUAAGUGGGCACUGUGUUGGGAGUAAGCAAUGUGGAGUCAUCUCUUCCCCCAGAGAAACGCUGACAAGUAUUAGCUCACAGACAUGUGUGCACAAAGAUGGAUGCUCACAGUUGUCCGUUGGAGCACUGUUUGAAGCAGCAAAAGGAACCAAUUCAACUUUCCCUGAGUAGGAAAAUGGCUAAAUAAAUGCAAGAAGCCCCUUGCCAGAAGCAAGCCUCAUGACUUAGGACUUUCCAGCCUCCAGAAUUGUAAGAAAUAGAUUUCUGUACUUCAUAUAAAAAAGUAUGAUGUGAUUGAUGCUU
RNAcentral lists this long non-coding RNA (726 nucleotides) under Homo sapiens (human). RNAcentral's name for it is "HSALNT0099613". The record is from RNAcentral. Lineage: Eukaryota; Metazoa; Chordata; Mammalia; Primates; Hominidae.